UGGGGAAUAUUGCACAAUGGGGGAAACCCUGAUGCAGCAACGCCGCGUGAAGGAAGACGGUUUUCGGAUUGUAAACUUCUGUUCUUAGUGAAGAUAAUGACGGUAGCUAAGGAGCAAGCCACGGCUAACUACGUGCCAGCAGCCGCGGUAAUACGUAGGUGGCAAGCGUUGUCCGGAAUUACUGGGUGUAAAGGGAGCGUAGGCGGGAAGCCAAGUCAGCUGUGAAAACUACGGGCUUAACCUGUAGACUGCAGUUGAAACUGGUUUUCUUGAGUGAAGUAGAGGUUGGCGGAAUUCCGAGUGUAGCGGUGAAAUGCGUAGAUAUUCGGAGGAACACCGGUGGCGAAGGCGGCCAACUGGGCUUUAACUGACGCUGAGGCUCGAAAGUGUGGGGAGCAAACAGG
This 404-nucleotide ribosomal RNA is filed under the name uncultured bacterium. RNAcentral describes it as "bacterial SSU rRNA". It matches the Rfam family "Bacterial small subunit ribosomal RNA", at positions 355 to 776 of the family's 1533-position model. The record is from RNAcentral. RNAcentral also lists the same sequence under 1 other name.